GGAUAACUUACCCUUAGGACUGGGAUAACUCUGGGAAACUGGGGAUAAUACUGGAUAUUUGGCUAUGCCUGGAAUGGUUUGCCUUUGAAAUGUUUUCUUUUUCGCCUAAGGAUAGAUCUGCGGCUGAUUAGGUCGUUGGUGGGGUAAUGGCCCACCAAGCCGAUGAUCGGUACGGGUUGCGAGAGCAAGAGCCCGGAGAUGGAACCUGAGACAAGGUUCCAGGCCCUACGGGGUGCAGCAGGCGCGAAACCUCCGCAAUGUACGAAAGUGCGACGGGGGGAUCCCAAGUGUUAUGCUUUUUUUGUAUAACUUUUCAUUAGUGUAAAAAGCUUUUAGAAUAAGAGCUGGGCAAGACCGGUGCCAGCCGCCGCGGUAACACCGGCAGCUCGAGUGGUAGCUGUUUUUAUUGGGCCUAAAGCGUUCGUAGCCGGUUUGAUAAGUCUUUGGUGAAAGCUUGUAGCUUAACUAUAAGAAUUGCUGGAGAUACUAUUAGACUUGAAGUCGGGAGAGGUUAGAGGUACUACCGGGGUAGGGGUGAAAUCCUAUAAUCCUGGGAGGACCACCUGUGGCGAAGGCGUCUAACUGGAACGAUCUUGACGGUGAGUAACGAAAGCCAGGGGCGCGAACCGGAUUAGAUACCCGGGUAGUCCUGGCCGUAAACGAUGUAGACUUGGUGUUGGAAUGGCUUUGGGUUGUUCCGGUGCCGAAGGGAAGCUGUUAAGUCUACCGCCUGGGAAGUACGGUCGCAAGACUGAGACUUAA
Molecule: ribosomal RNA, 762 nt
Filed under: uncultured archaeon
Lineage: Archaea
Description: bacterial SSU rRNA
Rfam family: Archaeal small subunit ribosomal RNA
Source: RNAcentral